Molecule: ribosomal RNA, 497 nt
Filed under: uncultured bacterium
Lineage: Bacteria
Description: partial 16S ribosomal RNA
Rfam family: Bacterial small subunit ribosomal RNA
Source: RNAcentral
GAUGAACGCUGGCGGCGUGCCUAAUACAUACAAGUCGAGCGAACGGACGAGAAGCUUGCUUUUCUGAUGUUAGCGGCGGACGGGUGAGUAACACGUGGAUAACCUACCUAUAAGACUGGGAUAACUUCGGGAAACCGGAGCUAAUACCGGAUAAUAUUUUGAACCGCAUGGCUCAAAAGUGAAAGACGGUCUUGCUGUCACUUAUAGAUGGAUCCGCGCUGCAUUAGCUAGUUGGUAAGGUAACGGCUUACCAAGGCAACGAUGCAUAGCCGACCUGAGAGGGUGAUCGGCCACACUGGAACUGAGACACGGUCCAGACUCCUACGGGAGGCAGCAGUAGGGAAUCUUCCGCAAUGGGCGAAAGCCUGACGGAGCAACGCCGCGUGAGUGAUGAAGGUCUUCGGAUCGUAAAACUCUGUUAUUAGGGAAGAACAUAUGUGUAAGUAACUGUGCACAUCUUGACGGUACCUAAUCAGAAAGCCACGGCUAACUACGUG